UGGGGAGGGACAGGCAGUAAACUGGAGUCAGACUAGAUUAGUGGGGGAGGGACAGGCAGUAAACUGGAGUCAGACUAGAUUAGUAGGGGAGGGACAGGCAGUAAACUGGAGUCAGACUAGAUUAGUGGGGAGGGACAGGCAGUAAACUGGAGUCAGACUAGAUUAGUGGGGGAGGGACAGGCAGUAAACUGGAGUCAGACUAGAUUAGUAGGGGAGGGACAGGCAGUAAACUAGUAAACUGGAGUCAGACUAGAUUAGUGGGGGAAGGACAGGCAGUAAACUGGAGUCAGACUAGAUUAGUAGGGGAGGGACAGGCAGUUAACUGGAGUCAGACUAGAUUAGUAGGGGAGGGACAGGCAGUAAACUGGAGUCAGACUAGAUUAGUGGGGGAGGGACAGGCAGUAAACUGGAGUCAGACUAGAUUAGUGGGGGAGGGACAGGCAGUAAACUGGAGUCAGACUAGAUUAGUAGGGGAGGGACAGGCAGUAAACUGGAGUCAGACUAGAUUAGUGGGGGAGGGACAGGCAGUAAACUGGAGCAGACUAGAUUAGUAGGGGAGGGACAGGCAGUAAACUGGAGUCAGACUAGAUUAUUGGGGGAGGGACAGACAGUAAACUGGAGUCAGACUAGAUUAUUGGGGGAGGGACAGACAGUAAACUGGAGUCAGACUAGAUUAGUGGGGGAGGGACAUUACAAUCAGAUUUUCCCAGCUAGUGACAGCGGGUUUGACUCCAAGUCCUUGACUGCUGGUGUCAUUGAGUCUUGUGUAGAGUACAGUAUACUUAUGAGAUGAGUAAUAUAGGGUAUAUAAACAUUAUAUAAGGUGGCUAGUGAUACAUGUAUUACAUCUACGUUUCCAUUAUUAAAGUGGCUGGAUAGUUGAGUCAGUGUGUUGGCAGCAGAAUCUCAGGGAUCUUUAACUGCUGAGUUGUGAGAUGACCUGCUACAUUUCCAGGAUAUUCAUCUUUCUUUAAUCUACUUCAAGCAUCCGAGUUUAAAGCUUCACAAGGUGUUAUAAGGAUGUAUAAGCCGAG
Long non-coding RNA from Oncorhynchus tshawytscha (Chinook salmon), 1034 nucleotides. Lineage: Eukaryota; Metazoa; Chordata; Actinopteri; Salmoniformes; Salmonidae. The record is from Ensembl.